Molecule: ribosomal RNA, 680 nt
Filed under: Bacillus sp. (in: firmicutes)
Lineage: Bacteria; Bacillati; Bacillota; Bacilli; Caryophanales; Bacillaceae
Description: bacterial SSU rRNA
Rfam family: Bacterial small subunit ribosomal RNA
Source: RNAcentral
ACCUGCCUGUAAGAUCGGGAUAACGCCGGGAAACCGGGGCUAAUACCGGAUAGUUUUUUCCUCCGCAUGGAGGAAAAAGGAAAGACGGCUUCUGCUGUCACUUACAGAUGGGCCCGCGGCGCAUUAGCUAGUUGGUGGGGUAACGGCUCACCAAGGCAACGAUGCGUAGCCGACCUGAGAGGGUGAUCGGCCACAUUGGGACUGAGACACGGCCCAAACUCCUACGGGAGGCAGCAGUAGGGAAUCUUCCGCAAUGGACGAAAGUCUGACGGAGCAACGCCGCGUGAGUGAAGAAGGCCUUCGGGUCGUAAAACUCUGUUGCCGGGGAAGAACAAGUGCCGUUCGAACAGGGCGGCGCCUUGACGGUACCCGGCCAGAAAGCCACGGCUAACUACGUGCCAGCAGCCGCGGUAAUACGUAGGUGGCAAGCGUUGUCCGGAAUUAUUGGGCGUAAAGCGCGCGCAGGCGGCUUCUUAAGUCUGAUGUGAAAUCUUGCGGCUCAACCGCAAGCGGUCAUUGGAAACUGGGAGGCUUGAGUGCAGAAGAGGAGAGUGGAAUUCCACGUGUAGCGGUGAAAUGCGUAGAGAUGUGGAGGAACACCAGUGGCGAAGGCGGCUCUCUGGUCUGUAACUGACGCUGAGGCGCGAAAGCGUGGGGAGCAAACAGGAUUAGAUACCCUG